This 253-nucleotide ribosomal RNA is filed under the name uncultured bacterium. RNAcentral describes it as "partial 16S ribosomal RNA". It matches the Rfam family "Bacterial small subunit ribosomal RNA", at positions 524 to 776 of the family's 1533-position model. The record is from RNAcentral.
UACGAAGGGGGCUAGCGUUGCUCGGAAUUACUGGGCGUAAAGCGCACGUAGGCGGAUCAUUAAGUCGGGGGUGAAAUCCUGGAGCUCAACUCCAGAACUGCCCUCGAUACUGGCGAUCUUGAGUCCGGGAGAGGUGAGUGGAACUCCGAGUGUAGAGGUGAAAUUCGUAGAUAUUCGGAAGAACACCAGUGGCGAAGGCGGCUCACUGGCCCGGUACUGACGCUGAGGUGCGAAAGCGUGGGGAGCAAACAGG